Molecule: ribosomal RNA, 747 nt
Filed under: Venturia cerasi
Lineage: Eukaryota; Fungi; Ascomycota; Dothideomycetes; Venturiales; Venturiaceae
Description: partial large subunit ribosomal RNA
Rfam family: Eukaryotic large subunit ribosomal RNA
Source: RNAcentral
UUGUAAUUUGCAGAGGAUGUUUCGGGUGAGGCCGCGGUCCAAGUCCCUUGGAACAGGACGUCAUAGAGGGUGAGAACCCCGUACCUGGCCGCCGGCUGCCCCCGCUGUGAAACUCCUUCGACGAGUCGAGUUGUUUGGGAAUGCAGCUCUAAAUUGGUGGUAAAUUCCAUCUAAAGCUAAAUACCGGCCAGAGACCGAUAGCGCACAAGUAGAGUGAUCGAAAGAUGAAAAGCACUUUGAAAAGAGAGUUAAAAAGUACGUGAAAUUGUUGAAAGGGAAGCGCUUGCGGCCAGACUUGCCCGCGGUUGCUCAGCCCGCCCUCUGGCGGGUGCACUCUUCCGCGGUCAGGCCAGCAUCGGUUUGGGCGGUCGGACAAAGGCGCCGGGAACGUGGCCUCCCCUCGGGGAGGUGUUAUAGCCCGGUGCGCAAUGCGGCCAGCCCGGACCGAGGUUCGCGCUCUGCUAGGAUGCUGGCGUAAUGGCCGUAAGCGGCCCGUCUUGAAACACGGACCAAGGAGUCUAACAUCUAUGCGAGUGUUUGGGUGUCAAACCCGUGCGCGUAAUGAAAGUGAACGGAGGUGGGAACCGCAAGGUGCACCAUCGACCGAUCCCGAUGUCUUCGGAAGGAUUUGAGUAAGAGCAUAGCUGUUGGGACCCGAAAGAUGGUGAACUAUGCGUGAAUAGGGUGAAGCCAGAGGAAACUCUGGUGGAGGCUCGCAGCGGUUCUGACGUGCAAAUCGAUCGUCAA